RNAcentral lists this ribosomal RNA (468 nucleotides) under uncultured bacterium. RNAcentral describes it as "partial 16S ribosomal RNA". It matches the Rfam family "Bacterial small subunit ribosomal RNA", at positions 28 to 507 of the family's 1533-position model. The record is from RNAcentral.
GACGAACGCUGGCGGCGUGCUUAACACAUGCAAGUCGAACGGAAAGGCCCUGCUUUUGUGGGGUGCUCGAGUGGCGAACGGGUGAGUAACACGUGAGUAACCUGCCCCUGACUUUGGGAUAACUUCAGGAAACUGGGGCUAAUACCGGAUAGGAGCUCCUGCUGCAUGGUGGGGGUUGGAAAGUUUCGGCGGUUGGGGAUGGACUCGCGGCUUAUCAGCUUGUUGGUGGGGUAGUGGCUUACCAAGGCUUUGACGGGUAGCCGGCCUGAGAGGGUGACCGGCCACAUUGGGACUGAGAUACGGCCCAGACUCCUACGGGAGGCAGAAGUGGGGAAUAUUGCACAAUGGGCGGAAGCCUGAUGCAGCAACGCCGCGUGCGGGAUGACGGCCUUCGGGUUGUAAACCGCUUUCGCAUGUGACGAAGCGUGAGUGACGGUAAUGGGUAAAGAAGCACCGGCUAACUACGUG